Molecule: non-coding RNA, 109 nt
Organism: Acanthosepion pharaonis
Lineage: Eukaryota; Metazoa; Mollusca; Cephalopoda; Sepiida; Sepiidae
Source: the annotation of a GenBank genome assembly
UACAGCCAUAUCAUAUUGUAACACCUCUUCUCGUAUGAUCACAGAAGUUAAGCAACAUCGAGCUUGGUCAAUAAUUGGGUGACCGCUUGGGAAUGCUAGGUUCUGCAAG